UACGAAGGGGGCUAGCGUUGUUCGGAAUCACUGGGCGUAAAGCGCACGUAGGCGGAUCGUUAAGUCGGGGGUGAAAUCCCAGGGCUCAACCCUGGAACUGCCUUCGAUACUGGCGAUCUUUGAGUCCGGGAGAGGUGAGUGGAACUCCGAGUGUAGAGGUGAAAUUCGUAGAUAUUCGGAAGAACACCAGUGGCGAAGGCGGCUCACGGGCCCGGUACUGACGCUGAGGUGCGAAAGCGUGGGGAGCAAACAGG
RNAcentral lists this ribosomal RNA (254 nucleotides) under uncultured bacterium. Its description in RNAcentral is "partial 16S ribosomal RNA". It matches the Rfam family "Bacterial small subunit ribosomal RNA", at positions 524 to 776 of the family's 1533-position model. The record is from RNAcentral.